Molecule: ribosomal RNA, 1368 nt
Filed under: uncultured bacterium
Lineage: Bacteria
Description: partial 16S ribosomal RNA
Rfam family: Bacterial small subunit ribosomal RNA
Source: RNAcentral
GAUGAACGCUGGCGGCGUGCCUAAUACAUGCAAGUCGAGCGAACGGACGAGAAGCUUGCUUCUCUGAUGUUAGCGGCGGACGGGUGAGUAACACGUGGAUAACCUACCUAUAAGACUGGGAUAACUUCGGGAAACCGGAGCUAAUACCGGAUAAUAUUUUGAACCGCAUGGUUCAAAAGUGAAAGACGGUCUUGCUGUCACUUAUAGAUGGAUCCGCGCUGCAUUAGCUAGUUGGUAAGGUAACGGCUUACCAAGGCAACGAUGCAUAGCCGACCUGAGAGGGUGAUCGGCCACACUGGAACUGAGACACGGUCCAGACUCCUACGGGAGGCAGCAGUAGGGAAUCUUCCGCAAUGGGCGAAAGCCUGACGGAGCAACGCCGCGUGAGUGAUGAAGGUCUUCGGAUCGUAAAACUCUGUUAUUAGGGAAGAACAUAUGUGUAAGUAACUGUGCACAUCUUGACGGUACCUAAUCAGAAAGCCACGGCUAACUACGUGCCAGCAGCCGCGGUAAUACGUAGGUGGCAAGCGUUAUCCGGAANUUAUGGGCGUAAAGCGCGCGUAGGCGGUUUUUUAAGUCUGAAGUUAAGGCUGUGGCUUAACCAUAGUACGCUUUGGAAACUGUUUAACUUGAGUGCAGAAGGGGAGAGUGGAAUUCCAUGUGUAGCGGUGAAAUGCGUAGAUAUAUGGAGGAACACCGGUGGCGAAAGCGGCUCUCUGGUCUGUAACUGACGCUGAGGCUCGAAAGCGUGGGGAGCGAACAGGAUUAGAUACCCUGGUAGUCCACGCCGUAAACGAUGAGUGCUAGGUGUUAGGCCCUUUCCGGGGCUUAGUGCCGCAGCUAACGCAUUAAGCACUCCGCCUGGGGAGUACGACCGCAAGGUUGAAACUCAAAGGAAUUGACGGGGGCCCGCACAAGCGGUGGAGCAUGUGGUUUAAUUCGAAGCAACGCGAAGAACCUUACCAGGUCUUGACAUCCCGAUGCCCGCUCUAGAGAUAGAGUUUUACUUCGGUACAUCGGUGACAGGUGGUGCAUGGUUGUCGUCAGCUCGUGUCGUGAGAUGUUGGGUUAAGUCCCGCAACGAGCGCAACCCUUAUUGUUAGUUGCCAUCAUUCAGUUGGGCACUCUAGCGAGACUGCCGGUAAUAAACCGGGGGAAGGUGGGGAUGACGUCAAAUCAUCAUGCCCCUUAUGACCUGGGCUACACACGUGCUACAAUGGCUGGUACAACGAGUCGCAAGUCGGUGACGGCAAGCUAAUCUCUUAAAGCCAGUCUCAGUUCGGAUUGUAGGCUGCAACUCGCCUACAUGAAGUCGGAAUCGCUAGUAAUCGCGGAUCAGCACGCCGCGGUGAAUACGUUCCCGGGCCU